RNAcentral lists this ribosomal RNA (494 nucleotides) under uncultured bacterium. Its description in RNAcentral is "partial 16S ribosomal RNA". It matches the Rfam family "Bacterial small subunit ribosomal RNA", at positions 28 to 507 of the family's 1533-position model. The record is from RNAcentral.
GAUGAACGCUGGCGGCGUGCUUAACACAUGCAAGUCGAACGGUGAAGCGCCUUCCUUUUUGGUGGGUGUGGAUGAGUGGCGAACGGGUGAGUAACACGUGAGUAACCUGCCCCCUUCUUCUGGAUAACCGCAUGAAAGUGUGGCUAAUACGGGAUAUUCUGGGUCUGUCGCAUGAUGGGUCUGGGAAAGAUAUUGUUUCGGUGGGGGAUGGGCUCGCGGCCUAUCAGCUUGUUGGUGGGGUGAUGGCCUACCAAGGCGGUGACGGGUAGCCGGCCUGAGAGGGUGGACGGUCACACUGGGACUGAGACACGGCCCAGACUCCUACGGGAGGCAGCAGUGGGGAAUAUUGCACAAUGGGCGCAAGCCUGAUGCAGCGACGCCGCGUGAGGGAUGGAGGCCUUCGGGUUGUGAACCUCUUUCGCCAGUGAAGCAGGCCUGCCUCAUUUGUGGGUGGGUUGACGGUAGCUGGAUAAGAAGCGCCGGCUAACUACGUG